This 30-nucleotide non-coding RNA is filed under the name Mus musculus (house mouse). The record is from RNAcentral. Lineage: Eukaryota; Metazoa; Chordata; Mammalia; Rodentia; Muridae.
AGCUACAAAUCUCGGCAGCUGCCUGGAGGA